AAUAGCCUAACGGCUGAACCAGCAACUUGGGGGAAUGUAUAGCGUAAGCUAGUUGUAUUAACUAAUAGUUGAUGCAAUAUCGCUCUCGUCGAAUAAAGUUCUAGGUAGAAUACUGAUAAUGACAAUUUUCUACCUAUAUGUCUUGACCAAAUCACGUGCCAGCAGUCGCGGUAAGACGUGGAAGACUAGUGUUAUUCAUCUUUAAUAGGUUUAAAGGGUACCUAGACGGUAUUUCUAGCCCAAAAAGGGUACGGAUUUGCUAGAGUUUAAUGUGAGAAGAGUGUAGUACUUAAGGUGUAGAGAUGAAAUCCUUUGAUACUUUGAGAGAACUGGUGGCGGCGAAAGCAACCUUCUAUGUAUAAACUGACGUUGAGGGACGAAGGCUUGGGUAGCAAAUAGGAUUAGAUACCCUAGUAGUCCAGGCAGAGAAUGAUGAAUGCCAUAGGCUAGGUUAAUCUUAGUCUAUAAAUGAAAGUGUAAGCAUUCCACCUUAAGAGUAAUGUGGCAACGCAGGAACUGAAAUCAUUAGACCGUUUCUGAGACCAGUAGUGAAGUAUGUUAUUUAAUUCGAUGAUCCGCGAAAAACCUUACCACAAUUUGAAUAUAAUACAAGCGUUGCACGGCUGUCUUCAGUUAAUGUCGUGAGACUUUGGUUGGUUCCAUUAAAUUAACGUAAACCCUUGUUUUAAUUACUAUUUUAAUAAAACAGUUCGCCUAUAUAUUGGGCAAGAUAAAAGGGACUAAGACAAGUCAUCAUGGCCUUUAUAUUGUGGGCUAUAGACGUGCCACAUAUUCCUAUACAAAGGGAUGCAAAAAUGUGAAUUUGAGCUAAUCCCUAAAGUAGGAUAUAACAU
This 854-nucleotide ribosomal RNA is filed under the name Sarea coeloplata. Its description in RNAcentral is "SSU rRNA". It matches the Rfam family "Bacterial small subunit ribosomal RNA", at positions 370 to 1294 of the family's 1533-position model. The record is from RNAcentral. Lineage: Eukaryota; Fungi; Ascomycota; Sareomycetes; Sareales; Zythiaceae.